ACCGUGCUGCGCUGUUCAGGUGCGCUUGUUUCGGCAUGCGUUAAACGGGAAGUUGGUGCAAUACCAACGCUGCCCUCGCAACGGUAAGCAGGUUUAACCCCUUGUAAGCCCGAUACCGGCCUAACAAGGCACGACCCU
This 138-nucleotide non-coding RNA is filed under the name Thiothrix lacustris. The record is from RNAcentral. Lineage: Bacteria; Pseudomonadati; Pseudomonadota; Gammaproteobacteria; Thiotrichales; Thiotrichaceae.